Molecule: transfer RNA, 65 nt
Filed under: Dipodomys ordii (Ord's kangaroo rat)
Lineage: Eukaryota; Metazoa; Chordata; Mammalia; Rodentia; Heteromyidae
Rfam family: tRNA
About the family: Transfer RNA (tRNA) molecules are approximately 80 nucleotides in length.
Source: Rfam by way of RNAcentral
GGUGGCUCAGUGGUAGAGAGCUUGCCUUGCAAGCAUGAGGUCCUGGGUUCGAUUCCUCAGCACCA